RNAcentral lists this ribosomal RNA (1199 nucleotides) under Salmonella enterica subsp. enterica serovar Enteritidis. RNAcentral describes it as "partial 23S ribosomal RNA". It matches the Rfam family "Bacterial large subunit ribosomal RNA", at positions 1 to 1247 of the family's 2925-position model. The record is from RNAcentral. Lineage: Bacteria; Pseudomonadati; Pseudomonadota; Gammaproteobacteria; Enterobacterales; Enterobacteriaceae.
AGCGACUAAGCGUACACGGUGGAUGCCCUGGCAGUCAGAGGCGAUGAAGGGCGUGCUAAUCUGCGAUAAGCGCCGGUAAGGUGAUAUGAACCGUUAUAACCGGCGAUACCCGAAUGGGGAAACCCAGUGUGACUCGUCACACUAUCAUUAACUGAAUCCAUAGGUUAAUGAGGCGAACCGGGGGAACUGAAACAUCUAAGUACCCCGAGGAAAAGAAAUCAACCGAGAUUCCCCCAGUAGCGGCGAGCGAACGGGGAGGAGCCCAGAGCCUGAAUCAGCAUGUGUGUUAGUGGAAGCGUCUGGAAAGGCGCGCGAUACAGGGUGACAGCCCCGUACACAAAAGCGCAUGUGCUGUGAGCUCGAUGAGUAGGGCGGGACACGUGGUAUCCUGUCUGAAUAUGGGGGGACCAUCCUCCAAGGCUAAAUACUCCUGACUGACCGAUAGUGAACCAGUACCGUGAGGGAAAGGCGAAAAGAACCCCGGCGAGGGGAGUGAAAAAGAACCUGAAACCGUGUACGUACAAGCAGUGGGAGCACCCUUUGGGUGUGACUGCGUACCUUUUGUAUAAUGGGUCAGCGACUUAUAUUCUGUAGCAAGGUUAACCGAAUAGGGGAGCCGGAGGGAAACCGAGUCUUAAUUGGGCGUUAAGUUGCAGGGUAUAGACCCGAAACCCGGUGAUCUAGCCAUGGGCAGGUUGAAGGUUGGGUAACACUAACUGGAGGACCGAACCGACUAAUGUUGAAAAAUUAGCGGAUGACCUGUGGCUGGGGGUGAAAGGCCAAUCAAACCGGGAGAUAGCUGGUUCUCCCCGAAAGCUAUUUAGGUAGCGCCUCGUGAAUUCAUCUCCGGGGGUAGAGCACUGUUUCGGCUAGGGGGCCAUCCCGGCUUACCAACCCGAUGCAAACUGCGAAUACCGGAGAAUGUUAUCACGGGAGACACACGGCGGGUGCUAACGUCCGUCGUGAAGAGGGAAACAACCCAGACCGCCAGCUAAGGUCCCAAAGUCAUGGUUAAGUGGGAAACGAUGUGGGAAGGCCCAGACAGCCAGGAUGUUGGCUUAGAAGCAGCCAUCAUUUAAAGAAAGCGUAAUAGCUCACUGGUCGAGUCGGCCUGCGCGGAAGAUGUAACGGGGCUAAACCAUGCACCGAAGCUGCGGCAGCGACACUGUGUGUUGUUGGGUAGGGGAGCGUUCUGUAAG